GUCUUCAAGCUGCUCCCAGACGGGAACUUCGAAGUCGGGGUGCACAUCGCGGACGUGAGUUAUUUCGUCCCGGAAGGCACCGUCCUAGAUGACGUGGCGAGCGAGAGAGCCACAAGCGUUUACCUGGUGCAAAAGGUGAGAAGGGCCUUCAGAGGCCUC
Non-coding RNA from Notechis scutatus (mainland tiger snake), 159 nucleotides. Lineage: Eukaryota; Metazoa; Chordata; Lepidosauria; Squamata; Elapidae. The record is from RefSeq and is a predicted model, not a curated record.